GAUCAUGGUUCAGGAUGAACGCUAGCUACAGGCUUAACACAUGCAAGUCGAGGGGCAGCAUGGUCUUAGCUUGCUAAGGCCGAUGGCGACCGGCGCACGGGUGAGUAACACGUAUCCAACCUGCCGUCUACUCUUGGACAGCCUUCUGAAAGGAAGAUUAAUACAGGAUGGCAUCAUGAGUCCGCAUGUUCACAUGAUUAAAGGUAUUCCGGUAGACGAUGGGG
Molecule: ribosomal RNA, 224 nt
Filed under: uncultured bacterium
Lineage: Bacteria
Description: partial 16S ribosomal RNA
Rfam family: Bacterial small subunit ribosomal RNA
Source: RNAcentral